Molecule: ribosomal RNA, 156 nt
Filed under: Entrophospora infrequens
Lineage: Eukaryota; Fungi; Glomeromycota; Glomeromycetes; Entrophosporales; Entrophosporaceae
Description: 5.8S ribosomal RNA
Rfam family: 5.8S ribosomal RNA
About the family: 5.8S ribosomal RNA (5.8S rRNA) is a component of the large subunit of the eukaryotic ribosome. It is transcribed by RNA polymerase I as part of the 45S precursor that also contains 18S and 28S rRNA. Functionally, it is thought that 5.8S rRNA may be involved in ribosome translocation.
Source: RNAcentral
AACUUUCAACAACGGAUCUCUUGGUUCCAGCAUCGAUGAAGAACGCAGCGAAAUGCGAUAAAUAAUGUGAAUUGCAGAAUUCCGUGAAUCAUCGAGUCUUUGAACGCACAUUGCACUCCUUGGUAUUCCGAGGAGUACGCCUGUUCGAGCGUCAUU